GCGCUCCCUUCCGCCUCCCAAGGUCGCCAUCGCGCUCCCAUCCGAGCUCCUUUGAGGUCGCCGGCGCGCUCCCAGCAAUUUCGGCCGCAGGGGAAAAGGGGACUAGAUCGCAGCGCCGAUUUCUCCCGCUGGCUCGGUUCUGGAGCAUGCGGGGGUCCCUGUAGCAGCGUCGAGGUGGGGUGCAGCAGGAGGGAGGCGGGAGACGCGGUGGUAGUGAGCGUCGAUGUUUGAGCAGGGCGGCGUCCUGGUGGUGGGCAUCGAUGUUGAGCAGGGCCACGUCCUGGUGGGUAUCGAUGUGGAGAAAGCUGUUACUCUAUAUUUGCAUAAGCGGAUGUGGAGGCCACCUGCCACAGCAAGCCUCGAGACACAGCAGUUUGGCUGGGCUCUCUCCCUCAGGCCAUGGUCGGCAACCCCAAGUUUGUUCUUCAGAUCAUCAGAAUAUUGGUUGGGAGUGACUGUCUGUUAUCCGGUUCAUAAUAUUCUAGCUGGCAUAGUCGUCUUAGUAACCCCCAAAUUUCUUCAAUUAUAUUUCUUUGUGUGGAGAGCACGUGAUACUAUAAAAUGAUUCAUGAAAUAUCUUGCUUCACUGAUGUUGUAACAAAUCAGAAGGAAUGUUAAAAUCUUAUGUGAUUUCUUUAUACAGAUCUGCAGACAAAGUGAGGAGAGAAAGUAGCAGAUUGGAGAAGCUUUGGACCAUUGGUUUCAGUUGUCGGAUUUUUCCUUCUCAAUCAUCUGCUGGUAUCAUUUUGGUUAUUUGUUCACAACAGAUACUCCAAUAACUACAAUAUUUUCUUAACUAUUUACAUGGUAUGUCCUAUACAUUAUAUAGUCAGAACCUCAUAAGCUAUUCAAGUUAUUUUCCAGUUAAGUUUACGUGUCAUUAUAAUGGGUUGAGAUGACCUCCUUGGUUUCGUUGUUGAUCUUCGGACUGAGAUUCAUAUUUCUUAGUACCUUAAUACUAGAUUGGGAAAUGGAAAGCAGUGACUAAAUAGUGAAAACGCACAAGGAAACCUAUUUAGAUGAUGCCCUGAAACAAUAUUUUUUAUCUCUAAUAUUUUCAUUGCAAAGUUUAUUUCGAAUUUCCCAUUGAAAUGAUCACCUCUUAGUCUAUUCGCCGGUAUCUGCACAUGAUUUUGGAAUCGAUUGGAGCUUGAGGCUUAUAAAGAUUUCUAAGGGUAUAGAAAAUAGCUACAAUAAUUCAAAACAUGUUUACUGCACUUGUGUCUUGAACAAAUAUUGAUCAAUACAUCCUAAUACUUUUGCACUCUGCAUUUCCGCAGAAGGCACGGGGAAUGAUUGUUGUGUUCUAUAAACGUUGACUGCUGGUAGAUGUCAAAUUAACUCAUGCAAUGGUCUAAUCUGCCAGAUUAAUGACUUUUCGCGGUCUCUUGUCUGUUUAUUCUAUUUCUUGGGUGGCUCUGGAUAUUUUGCUUUCAAUGGGAUCAAUUUUCUAUGUUGAUCGUCGUGCCCAUCCGUCUGCCUCGCUGUGAAGCUGUCUAUUUGCUCGCAUGGUCGUAGUCAUCGAGUUAGGAGUCACCAUUGCAUAUGGCCGUGGGCUGCAACCAAAUCAAUUAAAGAAUGGACCAAUCGAGGCAACAAGAUGUUGAAUUUCUGGCAUUUAUUGGCGUGGUUUUGAUGACCUAUGUAUGCUUCCCAAUUAUCAUACUUAUUGUGUUGCAAAAUCAUGGGCUCUGUUACUUAAUUAUUGAGCAUUAUAUAUAAUACUUUUGCCUUAUAAGAUAA
Lolium rigidum is the source of this 1743-nucleotide long non-coding RNA. RefSeq lists it as uncharacterized. Lineage: Eukaryota; Viridiplantae; Streptophyta; Magnoliopsida; Poales; Poaceae. The record is from RefSeq and is a predicted model, not a curated record. The transcript is spliced from 4 exons.